UACGUAGGGAGCAAGCGUUGUCCGGAAUCAUUGGGCGUAAAGCGCGCGUAGGUGGCCACAUAAGUCCGUUGUGAAAGUCAAAGGCUCAACCUUUGAAAGCCGAUGGAUACUGUGUGGCUAGAGUACGGAAGAGGCGAGUGGAAUUCCUUGUGUAGCGGUGGAAUGCGCAGAUAUCAGGAGGAACACCAAUAGCGAAGGCAGCUCGCUGGGACGUUACUGACACUGAGGCGCGAAAGCGUGGGGAGCGAACAGG
This 253-nucleotide ribosomal RNA is filed under the name uncultured bacterium. RNAcentral's name for it is "partial 16S ribosomal RNA". It matches the Rfam family "Bacterial small subunit ribosomal RNA", at positions 524 to 776 of the family's 1533-position model. The record is from RNAcentral.